ACUCCCUCUAUUGCCUCUCCAGACCCAGACUUCACCCUCAGGUCACCCUCACCUGGACUUUGGGGUGCCCCACACCCCGCCCCAGGCCCUGGCCUCUGGAAUAUUUGGAAACUUGAACUGGGCCAGAGGCUUAAGCUCACAUCUGUCUGGAGCCUCAACUUUCUCCUCUGUAAAAUGGGCUAACACUGAAAGAACCUUGCAGAAUCUCAGCAACGUCACAGAGGACAUUGUUAGCACAGCCAGCGGGCUCCUGCUGGGCUGAGUUUGUGGGUAAUCCAAGCCUCGGCAGGUACAGUUCCUCCCUCAGCAGGGCCCAGGACACAGUGAGCAUACAAUAGACAUUAGCUGCUGUGGUGUCUUGAUUUCAAGCCCAGUGCAGAUGCAUCUGACUUACGAAACUUCAGUGACACCUGCUCUGUGCCAGACACUGAAGAUGGAGCAGUGAACAGCACUGACCCAGCCUGUCCUCCUGUUGCCUGCAGGCCAGAAGCAAGGUCUCGCUGUGUUACCCUGGCUGGAGUGCAGUGGCUACUUACAGGCAUGAUCAUAGCAUACUGCAGCCUCGAACUCCUGGACUAGAGCAGUUCUCCUGCCUCAGCCUCCAGAGCAGCUGGGACUGCAGACACGCACCACAGAGCCCAGCCUGAGUCAUUUUGAUUCUGUAACUGGCUUCCUCUCGGCGGGCAGGCUCACACCCUCCACCCCCAGCUGGAGAUGGAAGGAGGAUGCUCACCGCCCAUUCCUCAUGCAGGCCAUCGAUGGAAAUGUCAGACAGUGCGAGUCCACGCCUGAACACUUCUGGGGUCCGCUCUGGGACUGACACUGGCAGAUCCAUCGAUGCCGUUCCAUUGUUUGCUGACUUUCAUUGAUUCUAUGAGAAGUCUGCAGUCUUUUGCAGCGUUGUUUUCCUAUGUAUAAUUGUCUCCUCCCACCCCACUCACCCCAGCUGCUUUCCACAUUCUCUCUCUUUGAUUUUCAGCAGUCUGCCCAUGAUGUGCCUAAAUAGGACUUUCUUUGCAUUCAUCUUGGCUGGGGCUCACUGAACUUUCUGAAUCUGUAGAUUAAUUUUCUUUUUUCAAUAAACCUUGGAAUAUUUUCA
Molecule: long non-coding RNA, 1099 nt
Filed under: Homo sapiens (human)
Lineage: Eukaryota; Metazoa; Chordata; Mammalia; Primates; Hominidae
Description: long intergenic non-protein coding RNA 963
Source: RNAcentral